Molecule: ribosomal RNA, 253 nt
Filed under: uncultured bacterium
Lineage: Bacteria
Description: partial 16S ribosomal RNA
Rfam family: Bacterial small subunit ribosomal RNA
Source: RNAcentral
UACAGAGGUCUCAAGCGUUGUUCGGAUUCAUUGGGCGUAAAGGGCGCGUAGGCGGCGGGGUAAGUCUGGUGUGAAAUCUCGGAGCUCAACUCCGAAAUUGCACUGGAUACUGCUCUGCUUGAGGGUUGGAGAGGAGAUCGGAAUUCACGGUGUAGCAGUGAAAUGCGUAGAUAUCGUGAGGAAGACCAGUGGCGAAGGCGGAUCUCUGGACGAAUCCUGACGCUGAGGCGCGAAGGCUAGGGGAGCAAACGGG